Molecule: long non-coding RNA, 649 nt
Organism: Mauremys reevesii (Reeves's turtle)
Lineage: Eukaryota; Metazoa; Chordata; Testudines; Geoemydidae
Exons: 3
Source: RefSeq, a predicted model, not a curated record
AAUGAAUGAAGUGUCACAUCACCUCCUGGCUGCAGGGAAGUCAGAGAGCAUUGGGAAUCUUGCAAAAUAUUUUGCAGACUGGACCCCUGUCUCAGUCUGAACUCACCCCCGCCUUUUGCCUCAGGUAGAGAACAGUGUCUCUUUAGAGUCAUCAGCCUGAGUGCCUGCGCAAUGCUACCUCCUCUGGACUUUUGGGACUGUACCAAGACCCUGGUUUUGAACACCCAUGAACUUUGGGAAAGCUUAGAUCCGGCUGCAGACUUGAACUUCACAGCUGGACCUAUACCCCUGUGAUGACCAAUACAAAUGACAAAGCUGAACACCUUUGCUGUGUGGGAAUGCUCAGAAAACUGGGUCUGAAUGCUGAAGAAUAGAAAACCCUAGGACUUUAUCCUCUUAAUUAGUGAUGGUGAACCUCAAAAAGGCUAUAGGUUAAUUUCAUAUAAGAAACAAAGAGGCAGGUUCUUGGGUAUGGCCAAGAAAUGCUGAGUGCAACUGGGGUGGGGAAUAAAUUAGCUCUUUGUGCCUUUCCAAACCUAUGGCCAAGUAUGCUCUGAACAACACCUGCUGUCAACUGCCUGCAGGGGCUUAUCUGCCAGCCAGGGAUCACCAUGGCCCCCAGCAUGUAUGGGGGGCAUUGACAUGGGGU